Molecule: ribosomal RNA, 253 nt
Filed under: uncultured bacterium
Lineage: Bacteria
Description: partial 16S ribosomal RNA
Rfam family: Bacterial small subunit ribosomal RNA
Source: RNAcentral
UACGUAGGGUGCGAGCGUUGUCCGGAAUUAUUGGGCGUAAAGGGCUCGUAGGCGGUUUGUCGCGUCUGCCGUGAAAGUCCGGGGCUUAACCCCGGAUCUGCAGUGGGUACGGGGAGACUGGAGUGCAGUAGGGGAGACUGGAAUUCCUGGUGUAGCGGUGAAAUGCGCAGAUAUCAGGAGGAACACCGAUGGCGAAGGCAGGUCUCUGGGCUGUUACUGACGCUGAGGAGCGAAAGCAUGGGGAGCGAACAGG